AGUGGGAAAAGAUGCAGAAGAUAAUGCUGGUGUCUUACAUGUUCUCAAGAGCUCAAUAAGAGAUGGAAAAACUCCAGAAAUACAAAUCUAAAAUGGGUGGAGAGAUUCAGUGCCCAGCUCUGCACUACUGCCUUGGAGAUGCCUCCUUUUGGCUCUUGUGCCUUGUUCCAUGGGGAGCCUCUCAGCAGAGUGGGUUUAACUGGGUAUUUCACUGCUGGAAGGAUGGAUACACGGAAUCCAGAGGCAGGAGGUGCCUGUGGAGAUGGGAUUGCUCUCCCAAAGAGAUUUGGCUGCUCCUGCAGGUGGAAGGAAGCUUUGCCCUUCUCCAACCACCUGACAGCAUCUGGAAGAGUGAAGGUGAUGGGCUCGAGGUUUUUCCCCAGGCUUGUGCAGAAUGUGACAAACACUGAGCCUGGGGCCUUUGUGAGACCAUGGGAAGAGUGUCCCUUGUGUCCCAGCUGUGUCCCAGAGCUGUACUGCCAACAGGCCUGCACAGCAAUGGGCAGGGCUGGAGAUGGGACUGAUCCAGGGAUCUGUUUCACGUGUGGUGAGGUUUGGGAAUGCAGUUUUUGUGUGUCAUUGAUGGAAGUGUGGCUUUUACUCACUGAGGAUGUGCCUCCCAGCUUCAGCAGCUCUAAUGCACAGCUGCACUUCUCAGCCUGCCUGCAUCCCAACACAGAGCUUGCACAUUGUAGAGACUCAGAAGAGGGGGGAUAGGAAAUAUUGUCUACUAUAAGAGAAUUAAAGA
This is a long non-coding RNA of Zonotrichia leucophrys gambelii, 748 nucleotides long. RefSeq lists it as uncharacterized. The transcript has 3 exons. The record is from RefSeq and is a predicted model, not a curated record. NCBI's taxonomy places the organism in Eukaryota, Metazoa, Chordata, Aves, Passeriformes, Passerellidae.